AUUGAACGCUGGCGGCAGGCCUAACACAUGCAAGUCGAACGCGUGGCGGACGGGUGAGUAAUGUCUGGGACACUGCCUGAUGGCGGGGGAUAACUACUGGAAACGGUAGCUAAUACCGCAUACCCUCGGAUGUGCCCAGUUGGGAUUAGCUAGGAGUUGGGGUAAAGGCUCACCUAGGCGACGAUCCCUAACUGGUCUGAGAGGAUGACCAGCCACCACGGAUAUGAGAACCUGUCCAGACGCCUAAGGGAGGCAGCAGUGGGGAAUAUGGCACAAUGGGCGCAAGCAUGAUGCAGCCAUGCCGCGUGUAUGAAGAAGGUCUUCGGGUUGUAAAGUACUUGUAGCGGGGAGGCGUUACCCGCAGAAGAAGCACCGGCUAACUCCGUGCCAGCCGCCGCGGUAAUAC
RNAcentral lists this ribosomal RNA (406 nucleotides) under uncultured bacterium. RNAcentral describes it as "partial 16S ribosomal RNA". It matches the Rfam family "Bacterial small subunit ribosomal RNA", at positions 30 to 526 of the family's 1533-position model. The record is from RNAcentral.